Long non-coding RNA from Polypterus senegalus (gray bichir), 1169 nucleotides. RefSeq lists it as uncharacterized. Lineage: Eukaryota; Metazoa; Chordata; Cladistia; Polypteriformes; Polypteridae. The transcript is spliced from 5 exons. The record is from RefSeq and is a predicted model, not a curated record.
UGGUCCUUUGUCAUUCUUUUCCAUUACUAGAAUGAUGUCUGAGUUACAAAAAGAGAUUAAGCAAACCUUGCUGUGAGUAAUACCAAGCCUUCCUGACGAGCCACUCAAUCAGUCAGUUGAGAAAUGUGUAGGCUGAGGAGUAAAAGAUUUAAUGUACGUGAAAGAAGAGGACUUUUUAAGAGUUCAUACAACCUGUCCAGUGCCAAACUGUUCAGCACCCGGAAAGAUCAUGAACAAAGAAGCAGCAUUUUGGUUCAGUAAUUAGUUUGACCUAGGACUCCUCAAAAUUCACCACAAAUGAGCUCCUCAGGCUCCUCAGUCAGAAAAUGGAUGGACUCACACUUCAAGCAGAUGCAUUUGCCACUUCAGCAGAUGUCCAAGGAACACUCAACUUGCCUGACAGUCCUUGAAUUAUAAUUCUUGGUCAAACUCUAAGCAACCAGCAGUGGAUGGUGAGCACAUGAUGUAAAGGUCACAUUGUAUGUGAGGGAACACAACUCAGCUUUGUCUGUGGCCGUGCUGCUGUGUUUGCUUCAUGUUAUGAUUUCAACCUCCAAUAUAGGAAGAGACUGCAAGCACCUUUGAUUUUGUUCAAAGAUGAUAUAUUGACAUCAACCCUGAACACAUGUUCAAGGCCAAUCAAGGAAAAGCUACAUCCAAGAAGACUAGCCAAGCAGUCCAUAACAAGAAGAACACAGUAAACCCUCAUUUUUCCUAACCACUUUGUAAGAUAAUGGACUUUAAACAGAAUUUGGUCUGAGUUCAUCCAAGACCACUUUGUUCACUUUUAAUUUUGACAGUUUAGGCAAUUUUUCUCUAACAUGGUGUUCAUAUUCUAUUUUAAUGUGAAAGUCAACAUUGGUGCUACUUUUAAAUUUAGUACUGAAUGCUGCACUAUGUUUAUUGCCAGUGUUUCCCACCUCUGUUGCAACCAUUUGUGUUUAUCUGAAAUAAUGGAAGCCUGCUAACAAUUAAAAAAACUGGUAAUGUAAAAAGCUAAUCAAGACCAUAAAAAUAAAUGUUUAUUGGAAUGUUUCAAAUGCUCAUAUUAACCUGGCUUAUGGCUCCGGGGCGAUCACGCAUGAAAUUAUCAAGCGUUAUUGUUUGUGGCUGUGUAUUGGAACCUGCAAAUCCUGCUACCUCCUCCUGCUAUGCUUUCUGCUGCUUUG